AAAAAGACGAGAAAAUAUGGUGUUUUGGAUACUAGCAUAGGAAACAUGGAGUUAACCCCAUUAGAACAAGAUGAUGAAGACGACGACACAUUAUUUGAUGCCAAUCAACCUCGGAGGUUAGUACCUCACAUUGGAUACACAGUUCCUCUACAAAAAAUGGUGUCUGAUGAGUGAAUGGGAAGAUCUAAGAUUCUAAGCAUGCUUUUAAAGGGAAGCUAUCAUAAAAAAAUGUUGCAAUGUAAACAUGUAAUUUACAAAGUUGCUAUUUUAUCAACUGGCNNNNNNNNNNNNNNNNNNNNNNNNNNNNNNNNNNNNNNNNNNNNNNNNNNNNNNNNNNNNNNNNNNNNNNNNNNNNNNNNNNNNNNNNNNNNNNNNNNNNUUCAGUAGACAUCAGUAGGUAGAACCAUUUCUGUUAACAAAUUUCUCAGACUGUACUAGAAGAAGGUUACUGUUAGUAUUUUCAUUAGUUAGACAGGUAAAAAACUGUCUCUAUAGUACACCCAUCGUCUUAGAUGGAGUUGAAUUAGUAAACAAAAUAACAAAUACUUAAUACCGUGUAAAUUAAACACUGUGGCCAUUUCCUGCUGUGUUCCUUCUUUUUACCUCCAGUGGAUUCCUUUUAACCAUUUAACUCCUGCACACAAGGUUAGGGACAAGGAGGGAUAUAAUAGUAAUCCCUUCCUGGUUAUUAGUGGCAUACAUGUUUGGAUAUUCAUUUGUAUUAUAUUUUUAUAGAAUACUCUGCUACCUGCUGAGACAACCAGGCUCUUUCCAUUUGUUUAGAAAAAAAAACGCCAGUUCAGGUUAAUCAGGGCUUGACAAAUCUCAAGUCGCAUGGCGUUUAGACAUUUUCUCCUGGCGCCUGGUCGUUUGUCAGCCCUUUUAGUGCUAGCCACAUUAGCACGCCCCCCUCUCCUGGAAUAGAGGCUGACGGUGAGGGAGUUGUAAUCUUCCUGCUCUGAUCCCUGACUCGCCCUGCUGUGUUGCCAGGAUAUGAUGUCACUAAACAUUGCCCGAGGGAGCACAACAAGAAGAGCUUGAGUAUUACAGAAGCCCUAUUGAACUCCCAAAGGUAGGGAAGCCGGGAGGACCUAAAUUGAAAUAAAAUUAAUAAUUUGUGACUGUGUGAGAGAAUGUGUGAAUGCGCUUCAGACUGGGGGAUUUUUUGCCUUCUUUUGGAUCAACAGCAAAAACAAAUGUGAGGAAGGCUGAACUUGAUGGACGCAAGUCUCUUUUCACCUAUGUAUCUAUGUUUGUGAGUGUGUGAGUAUUGGUACUCUAAUUCUAAAAAUACAAGGCAUGUUUAUGGAAGUGGAAAAAAAAAAACAUACAUUGCAUAAAACAUCUGGAGUGUCUCAUCAGAAUAUAUUAAUUAGCUGCAUAAGUUAAACGCCCAUGACAUUUGGUUCGUCUUCUUUAUGUGUAAAUUUAAAGCAACACUAUAGUGUGAGGAAUCCAAACAUGUAUUAUUGACAUUGUAGUGUUUAACUAUGUAGGUUACUGCCCAAUCCCCCUCCAAUUGCAUGGGAAAGGUGUUGCGCCAUCUUGCAGUGGCUGGCUCCGCCUCCAUCGUUGAGAUAAUCAGUCUUGAUUAUCUCCCCAGUGCUUUCCCAAAGGAAAGUGUUAUGAGCCUAUUGCGCAUGUUUGGGAAAAUGCUGCGCUGCUCCAAUCCGCAUCUCCUCCUACAGAUUCGUUGAAUAAGUGCAUCUUUGGGGAACAUUCAGCGCCUCCAUGCAUAGCACAGAGACGAUGAAUGUAGGUGCUGCACACUUUGCCGCACUGGACUAGGAAGCACAUCUAGUGGCCCCCUGAGUGACAUCCACUAGAGGUGUAACUAAGCCACAAUGUAAAAGAGUUUUCUCUUAAAAGGCGGUGUUUACUUUGAAAAUUCUGGAGAGACAGGCUAUAUAUACCAGAACCACUAUGUUAAGCAGUGGUGGUUCUGAUGAAUAUAGUGUCCAUUAAGGUCUGUUAUUUUUGUAAUUAUUGGGGGGGGGGAGAGGGAGGGUGGACUAGCUCCUAACUUUUUUAGCUGUCUCCGAGAUUCAAAGCAAAUUUGUCAUGUCCGGAGAUAAAUUUCAGAAUUUCUUAAUUGUGCAUAUAAUUUGCACACUGGCUAAUUUUGGAAUAUGCAUUCAAAUAGUCUUUAGUAAAUAUAUGAACUUUAAUAUUUGGUUUAACUUCAGUGAUUUUUCAAAAUUUUGCUGUUUGAAUUGAGAUAAAUUACCACUAUCCUGGUUUCUAUUAUAAAUAUAAAGAGGCAAAUAAAUCCCAACUGUAGUCAUAUUCAGUUGUGCAUAAAAAGAAAGAUAAAAAUAUCCAAACUUGCAUUAAAAUUCCUAUUUACCCCAACAUUAUUUCAACAUUUACGCAUAUUGUGCAUUCAAGACUUAACAUUUGUUUGUUCGUUUUUCUUUUAAGGUAAUCCGGUGCCUUGACUUGGACGAAGUUUUAAAACGAAGAAAUACAUACUGUGCUUUAAAAGAAAGUUGAGUUGGCUUAUUGCUGCUUAGUCACAGGGCAUUGUUUCCUCGCUUAAUAACAACCUGUUCAGAACAAUUGUUGGCUAUUAAUGCAGCUGAGAUAAGAUGGGGCGGUCCGUCGUUAUCAAGGAACGAACCAUUUAUAAACCGUUUUAUAUUAAACCAGGCGACAAUACCUGAGAACCUUAGGCAGCAUAACUAUUAACGCACGAUGUAGUGGUUAUAUUCCGUAUAUUAAAAAAACAACAAAAGUUUAAUUUGUCGUCCUAUCCAAAGACUUCUGGGAAUAAAUGUAAUUCUCGUUUUGUAUAUACUUUAUAGCAAUAUACUGAGAAAUGUCACAAAACUUUCAUUAAAAGAUCAUAUUUAAGACAAUAUGGGUUUGCUCCCUUUAUUAUGGUGAUGUAUUAUUUAAAUCUUUUGCUUUUUGUAUAUUUAUUGUAGUAAAAUGAUGUCAAAUUUUAGAUACAAAUCUUAUAAAUAUUGUUUUUAUUUAUAUGCAUUUAAUGAUUAGUUUAAAAAUCUUCACCCAAAGCAUGUUUGUUUGUUUUUUUGUUUGUUUGUUUUUGU
RNAcentral lists this long non-coding RNA (3053 nucleotides) under Pelobates cultripes (western spadefoot toad). Lineage: Eukaryota; Metazoa; Chordata; Amphibia; Anura; Pelobatidae. The record is from RNAcentral.